This 253-nucleotide ribosomal RNA is filed under the name uncultured bacterium. RNAcentral's name for it is "partial 16S ribosomal RNA". It matches the Rfam family "Bacterial small subunit ribosomal RNA", at positions 524 to 776 of the family's 1533-position model. The record is from RNAcentral.
CACGUAGGGCGCAAGCGUUGUCCGGAAUUAUUGGGCGUAAAGAGCUCGUAGGCGGUCUGUUACGUCUGCUGUGAAAACUGGAGGCUCAACCUCCAGCCUGCAGUGGGUACGGGCAGACUAGAGUGCGGUAGGGGAGAUUGGAAUUCCUGGUGUAGCGGUGGAAUGCGCAGAUAUCAGGAGGAACACCAAUGGCGAAGGCAGAUCUCUGGGCCGUAACUGACGCUGAGGAGCGAAAGCAUGGGGAGCGAACAGG